Molecule: long non-coding RNA, 337 nt
Organism: Vombatus ursinus (common wombat)
Lineage: Eukaryota; Metazoa; Chordata; Mammalia; Diprotodontia; Vombatidae
Exons: 3
Source: RefSeq, a predicted model, not a curated record
CUGUCGCUGCUUACCAUAAGCUCUUCAGACACUGGAACAAUAUACUGGGGAAGCCACACUACUGUAAGGUACAGUGUAAAGGGAUUGGCUUGGGAAUCUGAGGAUGUAGGUUCAAAUUUUGCCUCUGAUAUUUACUACCUUGGUGAUUCAUACCCUGGAGUUGUGAUCUGAUGAGCUGUCCCACUCUGGUGCAUGUAACUUACAUCCAGGCUGGAAAAUGAGCAUCACAUGCGUGUGACAGGAGAAAUGCUAAUCCCUGGGGGUCACCCCAGAUCAACAGGAGGAAACACCUGUAGACACUUCAAGCUUCACUAAACAACCUUCUCAAUUCUUUUAA